This 254-nucleotide ribosomal RNA is filed under the name uncultured bacterium. RNAcentral describes it as "partial 16S ribosomal RNA". It matches the Rfam family "Bacterial small subunit ribosomal RNA", at positions 524 to 776 of the family's 1533-position model. The record is from RNAcentral.
GACGUAGGGCGCGAGCGUUGUCCGGAUUUAUUGGGCGUAAAGAGCUCGUAGGCGGCUUGUCGCGUCGACUGUGAAAACCCGUGGCUCAACCAUGUGGUCUGCAGUCGAUACGGGCAGGCUAGAAUUCGGUAGGGGAGACUGGAAUUCCUGGUGUAGCGGUGAAAUGCGCAGAUAUCAGGAGGAACACCGGUGGCGAAGGCGGGUCUCUGGGCCGAUAUUGACGCUGAAGCACGAAGGCCAGGGGAGCAAACGGG